RNAcentral lists this ribosomal RNA (608 nucleotides) under uncultured bacterium. Its description in RNAcentral is "bacterial SSU rRNA". The stretch from base 1 to 538 matches the Rfam family "Bacterial small subunit ribosomal RNA", at positions 338 to 873 of the family's 1533-position model. The record is from RNAcentral.
CCUACGGGAGGCAGCAGUGGGGAAUUUUGGACAAUGGGCGCAAGCCUGAUCCAGCCAUGCCGCGUGCGGGAAGAAGGCCUUCGGGUUGUAAACCGCUUUUGUCAGGGAAGAAAUCCUUUGGGUUAAUACCUCGGAGGGAUGACGGUACCUGAAGAAUAAGCACCGGCUAACUACGUGCCAGCAGCCGCGGUAAUACGUAGGGUGCGAGCGUUAAUCGGAAUUACUGGGCGUAAAGCGUGCGCAGGCGGUUAUGCAAGACAGAUGUGAAAUCCCCGGGCUCAACCUGGGAACUGCAUUUGUGACUGCAUAGCUAGAGUACGGUAGAGGGGGAUGGAAUUCCGCGUGUAGCAGUGAAAUGCGUAGAUAUGCGGAGGAACACCGAUGGCGAAGGCAAUCCCCUGGACCUGUACUGACGCUCAUGCACGAAAGCGUGGGGAGCAAACAGGAUUAGAUACCCUGGUAGUCCACGCCCUAAACGAUGUCAACUGGUUGUUGGACGGCUUGCUGUUCAGUACGAAGCUAACGCGNGAGUGACGCGNGGAGUAAGGCGCGAGUUAGUAAGUUAGAAGAAGUUAGAGNGNGAGAGNGCGAGACGACACGAGGAGGAG